Molecule: ribosomal RNA, 253 nt
Filed under: uncultured bacterium
Lineage: Bacteria
Description: partial 16S ribosomal RNA
Rfam family: Bacterial small subunit ribosomal RNA
Source: RNAcentral
UACGUAGGGUGCAAGCGUUGUUCGGAAUCAUUGGGCGUAAAGGGCGCGUAGGUGGUUCUGUAUGUCUAUCGUGAAAGCGUACGGCUCAACCGUAUUUUGUCGGUAGAAACUGCAAGGCUCGAGUCCGGGAGAGGGGGGUGGAAUUCCCAGUGUAGCGGUGAAAUGCGUAGAUAUUGGGAGGAACACCGGUGGCGAAGGCGGCCCCCUGGACCGGUACUGACGCUGAGGCGCGAAAGCGUGGGUAGCAAACGGG